CCUACGGGGGGCAGCAGUGGGGAAUAUUGGACAAUGGGGGGAACCCUGAUCCAGCCAUGCCGCGUGUGUGAAGAAGGCCCUCGGGUUGUAAAGCACUUUCAGUGAGGAAGAACGCCUGGUGGUUAAUACCCAUCAGGAAAGACAUCACUCACAGAAGAAGCACCGGCUAACUCCGUGCCAGCAGCCGCGGUAAUACGGAGGGUGCGAGCGUUAAUCGGAAUUACUGGGCGUAAAGCGCGCGUAGGUGGCUUGAUAAGCCGGUUGUGAAAGCCCCGGGCUCAACCUGGGAACGGCAUCCGGAACUGUCAAGCUAGAGGGCAGGAGAGGAAGGUAGAAUUCCCGGUGUAGCGGUGAAAUGCGUAGAGAUCGGGAGGAAUACCAGUGGCGAAGGCGGCCUUCUGGACUGACACUGCCACUGAGGUGCGAAAGCGUGGGUAGCAAACAGGAUUAGAUACCCUGGUAGUA
Molecule: ribosomal RNA, 465 nt
Filed under: Vreelandella stevensii
Lineage: Bacteria; Pseudomonadati; Pseudomonadota; Gammaproteobacteria; Oceanospirillales; Halomonadaceae
Description: partial 16S ribosomal RNA
Rfam family: Bacterial small subunit ribosomal RNA
Source: RNAcentral